UUUUAUUUAUUAAAAAAAAAAGAUUUUAUUUAUUUAAUUUAGAGAGAGAGCACACAGAGGGAGAGGGAGAAGCAGGUUCCCCGCUGAACAGAGAGCCCCAGCUCGGGGCUCGAUCCCAGGACCCUGAGACCAUGACCUGAGCGGCAGGCAGAGGCUUAACCAGCUGAGCCACCCAAAUGUCCCGGCAGCUAAAUAUUUUAUUUUUUAACAUGAAAACAUAUGCAAAUUUGACCUGUAUAACUAAAAAUUAGCUGCCUAUUCACAUAGAAUUCCAAACUAUAUUAAAGAUCCUGCGAGGGAUCCCUGGGUGGCUCAGUGGUUGAGCGCCUGCCUUAGGCCCAAGGCGUUUAAUCGGGGGUCCUGGGAUCGAGUCCUCAUCGGGCUCCCUGCAUGGAGCCUGCUUCUCUCUCUGCCUGUGUCUCUGCCACUCUCUCAUGAAUAAAUAAAUAAAAUCUUUAAUAAAUAAAUAAAUAAAUACCCUGAGAUACAAAAAAAAAAAAAUGUAAUAAAAUACUUAGUAUUUUUAUAUACUGCUUUUUAAUGAACUAUUCUCUACUUACCCAUCUCCUUGCUCUGUGCCCACUGCCUGUCCCACCUUCAUUUUGAACCUCCCCAAACCCACAUGCCACAUAUGUCCGAAAAUCAAUCUGUAGCCAUCCUACCCAUCCCCCAUGGUCCACUCCAAAUGCCACCAAGCUCUUUAUUCAGUCACUCUCUUUGUUCAACAUCUCCUUUAUGACAUUUGCUGGGCUAUGCCUAGCCCUGGCUGUGCGUGUUUGUCUGAAACCUCAGAGGACUCUUAUUCUGGGUUGCCAGGGUCCUAAUCUGGGUUGGAGAAAAGAAGCUUACAUGAAGUGAGAGACUGUGAGAGCUGGGCCCAAGUCUGUCCACUCCAGAACCUGAGCAGCUCUCGAUCAUCAAUGCGAGACCACCCAACGUAGACAAAGCAAAUGGAACUCUUUGAAGAAAGAUACCUCGAUCCAAGCGAUCCUCACGGAAGCUGGGAGAUACCUGCCUUGCGGGGCUCCUUGGGCAUCUUCCCCAAACAGGAGGUCAAGCGAGACUGGAGAGGUGCCUGCAGGAGAAAGAGGCUUCCCAGACACCCUGUCUAUACAGAGAUCACAGCCGGGAGCAGAAUAAAUGAGCACUUCACCAACUUGAAAAUACAAUUCUCUUGGUUAUUAAUAGUCAAAAGACUCCCAGUACUGGGCCAGAAGUUUCUUUUUUAGUAGCAAUUACUUAAAUUAAGUUUCUGAUUUGUAUUAAAGUUUUCUGGCAGAACUCAACACAGGAUGCAAGAGCAUGAGGAAGAUUUCCAAACAAGAUUACACGGUUUUCCGAUGUGAUACAUUUGAUCAUCUCUGAAAAGGCAGGGGCGACAUUGCAAUCUUAAUUGAAAUGUCAAAUUCUUGGGAAACGUUCUCCUUGUUAACAUUGGACUUAAGGAUUGUAAUGAUUAUUUACUUUGAGCUCCAGAGGUUUUGAAGAAAUGUAAAAGAAUCCUAAGCAGGUGAAUGAGAGAUUUGACAGAUACUUAAAAAACACCAUUUGGGGAAAACCUGGUUUUUGUCCCUUGAGGGAUCCUCAAAAUCUGUUCAAUGAGGCAUUGUUCCAUUUUUUUUCUCUUUCAGUCUUCUCUUCCUUGAACUAGGCCUUUUCAAAGAAUGCUUCUGCUCAUUGACCAGCAGGUUGAGAGAUUUAUAUUUGGUUUCUAAUUAAGUACCCUAACUGUAAGUGAGAGAAUGGAGAAGAAAAGCCCAUAGUCUUAUAUCCCAAGAAGAAAGCAAGUGUUUGCUUCAGUGGCAAACCUGCCUUCUCAGGAGUCUAAGGGGGAGCAAAGAAGGCCCAUUUUAUUUCUUCUGAAGACAUCCUCUGGCGCUUGAGAACGUCUGAUGUUGUUUAGCAGGGUAAGCCAACCGCUGAUGGGUUCUGUUAAGAACAAAAGCCUUGGCUUCUGGUCCCAGAGAGUAAUGAAUUUCUAGUAACACUUAACAUGGUAAUUACGAUGAAAAAUGUAUUUUAAAAUUAAUGUACUUUAACAGAUAUGUCAAGUUGAAUCCAGAGCCAAGGACACUGGCUUAAACUAAAUUGACUUAUGGCCUUUUGGGAUUCUUGGGUCAUGUAAGAGCUCAGUUUGACUUUAUCCCUAACUCAGUUUCUCUAUUCCCUCUUCAUAUCACAACUAUUAGAGACAUAAAAAGUGCCCUGUGACUAUGAUAUAGUCUUUUGGGAGACCUGGAAGAUGUCAUAUCUUUUUUUUCUUGAAAAUAAAGUUUAUAGGGGUCCCUGGGUAGCUCAGUCAAUUGAGCCUCCUACUCUUGAUUUCAGCUGAGGUUGUGAUAUCUGGGUCAUGGGGUCAGGCCUGGCCUCAGGCUUCAUGCUCAGCGUGGAGUCUGCUUGUCUCUCUCCUUCCCCCUGAUUGUAUACUCUCUCUCUCUAAAAUAAUAAAAUCCUUUUUAAAAAAUUAAAAAUUAAAAAAAAAGGAAAGUUUAUCGGGGCACCUGACUGACUCAGCCAAGGGGGCACAUGAAUCUUGACCUUGGAGUUGUGAGUUCAAGCCCCAUAUUGGAUAUAGAGAUUACUUAAAAAUAAAAUCUUUUUUAUUUUUAAAGAAAGUGUAUAAAAACAACACAUUGUAAAAAUAUUAUCCCAAACCCAAAAAGCUGAUUCUUCUGUCCGUUUCAAAGAAAUCAAGAUAGAAAUAAAAUUGUUUUUAUUAAUAUUUGGAGGACGGCAUUCAUAUCUAAGUAAGAAUUAUGCUUGUGAAAAAAAGAGAUCUGAACUCACUCUAAAAAAUUUUGCCCCCUUCCAUUUCUGUACAUUAGAAAACCGUUCCUGCCUUCCUCUUUACUUUUCCAAGUUAUUAAAGAUUUUGUGUCUUUCUUAGUUUCCCGGUAUGAAGCAAAACACUGUAAAUACAUCAGAGAAAUGCUAGAAUUUUAGCCAGUAAUAAUUCAAAGCUUUGACUCUGAAUACAGGCACCCACUAUUCACAGUAUUUCCCAUUGUAUCCUGUUUACAGAGAACCCAGAUGAAUGGUGCCCACCUGGAGGUGUCCCAUGGACCGAAAUAAUCUUAGCAAAUGUGCGAUGGUCUGGGUACAGCCGCUGCUACCUCCUCAUCUAGCUGAGCCCACUGCUUGGUGCCACCAGUCUGUUAGAUAGUAACCUUCAAGCCCUCCUGGCCUUGUUGAUAUUUCGUUGCCUAUCAGUGGAUCAUUAGUUGGAGUAUUUCCUUAGUCAUAGAGACUAGCCGUUUGUUGGGACGUUCUCAGUAGGAACUACAGUUGAAGAUAACAGAAGGGUUAUUUAAACAUGAAUGUGAAAACACAAAACAAAACACUUCUUUCUUCUUGGGGCCUAAGACUGUUUUGUUAUUUUCUGAUUCUUAAACUUGUUCAGGCUUCUUAAGUGCAGAGAUCUGAUUGUCUUUUUAAUCUUUCCUGUGACAUUUGAAUGUUUAAGUCUUUUGAGAAUAUAUAUAUUUACAUUUUCCAACCAGCCAACGGCACUUAAUAUCUUCUAUAGUUCCAAAGAUUAGGAAAAGAAGAGAAAGCUAGAGAGUUGGCAAGCAAGUGUGUAAUAAUCUGGCAAGGAAAUUCUUGAGCAAGAAUAUAUGGGUUUGAGUUUAUUGGAACAUUUGAAAGCAAUUAAAUUGUUUUUUUCCCCUCAAACUUAUUUUUGUCCUUUUUACUUUAAGCACACAGAGGCAUACAGCUGAAAAAUAACAUUGCAAGUAUAAAUGAAUCAUUAAGCUGAUCAAGCCAAGAAGCUACUACCAGGAGUCUUUAUAGAAUACUAGGUAAGGGGGAUCCCUGGGUGGCGCAGCAGUUUGGCGCCUGCCUUUGGCCCAGGGCGCGAUCCUGGAGACCCGGGAUCGAAUCCCACAUCAGGCUCCCGGUGCAUGGAGCCUGCUUCUCCCUCUGCCUGUGUCUCUGUCUCUCUCUCUCUCUCUCUCUGUGUGACUAUCAUAAAUAAAUAAAAAUUAAAAAUAAAUAAAAAAUAGAAUACUAGGUAAAAUGUCUGUCAUCUAUGCUCAGGCUUAUUGGAGGGGUCGGGACCAGCCCUUUAAAAAAAAAAACUGAUCAGCUCCUGAAUAUUCAAAUUUAUAUUUAUUGACCUGAUACAGAGUGUCCUGCAUAGUGUUAAAAACAGCGUCUUCCAAACUGUGG
Molecule: long non-coding RNA, 4170 nt
Filed under: Canis lupus familiaris (dog)
Lineage: Eukaryota; Metazoa; Chordata; Mammalia; Carnivora; Canidae
Description: lncRNA (ENSCAFG00845028276.1)
Source: RNAcentral